GGUGGUAUAGCUCAAGCGGUAGAGCAACAUCCUUUUAAGUUGAAGAUUGCAGGUUCGAGUCCUGCUGCCACCA
This 73-nucleotide transfer RNA is filed under the name Ktedonobacteraceae bacterium. RNAcentral's name for it is "tRNA-Lys". It matches the Rfam family "tRNA". From Rfam's summary of the family: Transfer RNA (tRNA) molecules are approximately 80 nucleotides in length. Their secondary structure includes four short double-helical elements and three loops (D, anti-codon, and T loops). The record is from RNAcentral. Lineage: Bacteria; Bacillati; Chloroflexota; Ktedonobacteria; Ktedonobacterales; Ktedonobacteraceae.